RNAcentral lists this microRNA precursor (89 nucleotides) under Bigelowiella natans CCMP2755. RNAcentral describes it as "miRNA EPrBNAG00000013123". Lineage: Eukaryota; Cercozoa; Chlorarachniophyceae. The record is from RNAcentral.
UGUUGAUGAUGAUGUUGAUGUUGUUGUUGUUGUUGUUGUUGUUGUUGUUGUUGCCAUCAUCAGCAUCAUCAGCAAAAUCAUCCUUCAAA